UAUUAGUGUGGGACACUUCAGGGUGCAGGA
RNAcentral lists this non-coding RNA (30 nucleotides) under Mus musculus (house mouse). Lineage: Eukaryota; Metazoa; Chordata; Mammalia; Rodentia; Muridae. The record is from RNAcentral. RNAcentral also lists the same sequence under 1 other name.